GAUGAAGAACGUAGCGAAAUGCGAUAAGUAAUGUGAAUUGCAGAAUUCAGUGAAUCAUCGAAUCUUUGAACGCACAUUGCGCCCGCUAGUAUUCUGGCGGGCAUGCCUGUCCGAGCGUCAUUUCAACCCUCAAGCCCCCGGGCUUGGUGUUGGGGACCUGCGGCUGCCGCAGGCCCUGAAAACCAGUGGCGGGCUCGCUGUCACACCGGGCGUAGUAGAUUUUAUCUCGCUCAGGGCGUGCUACGGGUUCCGGCCGUUAAAAAGCCUUUUUUACCCAAGGUUGACCUCGGAUCAGGUAGGAAGACCCGCUGAACUUAAGCAUAUCAAUAAGCGGAGGA
RNAcentral lists this unclassified non-coding RNA (338 nucleotides) under soil metagenome. RNAcentral's name for it is "partial contains 5.8S ribosomal RNA, internal transcribed spacer 2, and large subunit ribosomal RNA". The stretch from base 1 to 120 matches the Rfam family "5.8S ribosomal RNA", at positions 35 to 154 of the family's 154-position model. The record is from RNAcentral.